This 460-nucleotide ribosomal RNA is filed under the name uncultured bacterium. RNAcentral's name for it is "partial 16S ribosomal RNA". It matches the Rfam family "Bacterial small subunit ribosomal RNA", at positions 338 to 795 of the family's 1533-position model. The record is from RNAcentral.
CCUACGGGAGGCAGCAGUGAGGAAUAUUGGUCAAUGGACGAGAGUCUGAACCAGCCAAGUAGCGUGAAGGAUGACUGCCCUAUGGGUUGUAAACUUCUUUUAUAUGGGAAUAAAAUGUUCCACGUGUGGGAUUUUGUAUGUACCAUAUGAAUAAGGAUCGGCUAACUCCGUGCCAGCAGCCGCGGUAAUACGGAGGAUCCGAUCGUUAUCCGGAUUUAUUGGGUUUAAAGGGAGCGUAGGUGGAUUGUUAAGUCAGUUGUGAAAGUUUGCGGCUCAACCGGAAAAUUGCAGUUGAAACUGGCAGUCUUGAGUACAGGAGAGGUGGGCGGAAUGCGUGGUGUAGCGGUGAAAUGCUUAGAUAUCACGAAGAACUCCGAUUGCGAAGGCAGUUCACUGGACUGCAACUGACACUGAGGCUCGAAAGUGUGGGUAUCAAACAGGAUUAGAUACCCUUGUAGUC